AGUGAACGCUGGCGGUAGGCCUAACACAUGCAAGUCGAACGGUAACACAGUAAGAGUUUCCUCUUACGGGUCGCGAGUGGCAGACGUGUGUAGAAUACGUGGAACUGCACUUUGUCGUGGGGGAAAACGUGGAGAAACUAACUCUAAUACCGUAUCCUACCUACGGGUGAAAGCAGGACAUCAUCGCACCUUGCCCUAGUGAGUGAGCCGAUGUGGGAUUAGCUAGGUGGCGGGGUAAAGGCCCACCAAGGCGACGAUCCGUAGCUGGUCUGAGAGGAUGACCAGCCACACUGGAACUGAGACACGGUCCAGACUCCUACGGGAGGCAGCAGUGGGGAAUAUUGGACAAUGGGCGCAAGCCUGAUGCAGCCAUGCCGCGUGUAUGAAGAAGGCCUUCGGGUUGUAAAGUACUUUUAUUGGGAAGGAAGAGAAGAAGGUUAAUACCUCGGUGUACUGACGGUACCCAAAGAAUAAGCACCGGCUAACUUCGUG
RNAcentral lists this ribosomal RNA (492 nucleotides) under uncultured bacterium. Its description in RNAcentral is "partial 16S ribosomal RNA". It matches the Rfam family "Bacterial small subunit ribosomal RNA", at positions 29 to 507 of the family's 1533-position model. The record is from RNAcentral.